UUGGACAAUGGAGGCAACUCUGAUCCAGCCAUGCCGCGUGAAGGAAUAAGGCCCUAUGGGUUGUAAACUUCUUUUAGACGGGACAAAACCCCUUUACGUGUAAAGGGUUGAUGGUACUGUCAGAAUAAGCAUCGGCUAACUUCGUGCCAGCAGCCGCGGUAAUACGAAGGAUGCAAGCGUUAUCCGGAAUUAUUGGGUUUAAAGGGUGCGUAGGCGGACUAAUAAGUCAGUGGUGAAAGCAUGCAGCUUAACUGCAGAAUUGCCAUUUAUACUGUUAGCCUUGAGUACAGUUUAGGUAGGCUGAAUGUGUCAUGUAGCGGUGAAAUGCUUAGAUAUGACACAGAAAACCGAUUGCGAAAGCGGCUUGCUAAGCUGUAACUGACGCUGAGGCACGAAAGCGUGGGGAGCAAACA
Molecule: ribosomal RNA, 413 nt
Filed under: uncultured bacterium
Lineage: Bacteria
Description: bacterial SSU rRNA
Rfam family: Bacterial small subunit ribosomal RNA
Source: RNAcentral